AUUGAACGCUGGCGGCAUGCCUUACACAUGCAAGUCGAACGGCAGCACGGGAGCAAUCCUGGUGGCGAGUGGCGGACGGGUGAGUAAUAUAUCGGAACGUGCCCAGUCGUGGGGAUAACGUAGCGAAAGCUACGCUAAUACCGCAUACGAUCUAUGGAUGAAAGCGGGGGAUCGCAAGACCUCGCGCGAUUGGAGCGGCCGAUAUCAGAUUAGGUAGUUGGUGAGGUAAAGGCUCACCAAGCCGACGAUCUGUAGCUGGUCUGAGAGGACGACCAGCCACACUGGGACUGAGACACGGCCCAGACUCCUACGGGAGGCAGCAGUGGGGAAUUUUGGACAAUGGGCGCAAGCCUGAUCCAGCAAUGCCGCGUGCAGGA
RNAcentral lists this ribosomal RNA (377 nucleotides) under uncultured bacterium. Its description in RNAcentral is "bacterial SSU rRNA". It matches the Rfam family "Bacterial small subunit ribosomal RNA", at positions 30 to 408 of the family's 1533-position model. The record is from RNAcentral.